UACAGAGGAGCCAAGCGUUGUCCGGAUUGACUGGGCGUAAAGCGCACGCAGGCGGACGCGCGCGUGGGUGUGAAAUCUGGCCGCUUAACGGCCAGGCGCCAUCCCAUACGGCGGGUCUGGAGUGAUGCAGAGGGCGGUGGAAUUGCCGGUGUAGUGGUGAAAUGUGUAGAGAUCGGCAGGAACACCCAGGGGGAAACCAGCCGCCUGGGCAUCGACUGACGCUGAGGUGCGAGAGCGUGGGGAGCGAACAGG
Molecule: ribosomal RNA, 252 nt
Filed under: uncultured bacterium
Lineage: Bacteria
Description: partial 16S ribosomal RNA
Rfam family: Bacterial small subunit ribosomal RNA
Source: RNAcentral